GCCAGCAUGGCAUAGUGGUUUGGGCAUUGGAUUAUGAUUCUGGAGACCAGGGUUUGAUUCCCUCGGUCAUGAAA
Molecule: non-coding RNA, 74 nt
Organism: Phrynosoma platyrhinos (Desert horned lizard)
Lineage: Eukaryota; Metazoa; Chordata; Lepidosauria; Squamata; Phrynosomatidae
Source: the annotation of a GenBank genome assembly